UAGCCUAGUGGUUAAGGCUUUGGAUGGCUAAUCCGGAGACGGUGGGUUCGAUUCCCGU
Aedes albopictus (Asian tiger mosquito) is the source of this 58-nucleotide non-coding RNA. The record is from Rfam. NCBI's taxonomy places the organism in Eukaryota, Metazoa, Arthropoda, Insecta, Diptera, Culicidae.